CCUACGGGCGGCAGCAGUGAGGAAUAUUGGUCAAUGGACGGAAGUCUGAACCAGCCAUGCCGCGUGCAGGAAGACGGCUCUAUGAGUUGUAAACUGCUUUUGUACAAGGGUAAACCUGAAUACGUGUAUUCAGCUGAAAGUACUGUACGAAUAAGGAUCGGCUAACUCCGUGCCAGCAGCCGCGGUAAUACGGAGGAUCCAAGCGUUAUCCGGAUUUAUUGGGUUUAAAGGGUGCGUAGGCGGAUUGAUAAGUUAGAGGUGAAAUGUCCGAGCUUAACUCGGGAACUGCCUCUAAUACUGUUGAUCUAGAGAGUAGAUGCGGUAGGCGGAAUGUAUGGUGUAGCGGUGAAAGGCUUAGAGAUCAUACAGAACACCGAUUGCGAAGGCAGCUUACCAAGCUAUAUCUGACGUUGAGGCACGAAAGCGUGGGGAGCAAACAGGAUUAGAUACCCCAGUAGUC
This 460-nucleotide ribosomal RNA is filed under the name uncultured bacterium. RNAcentral's name for it is "partial 16S ribosomal RNA". It matches the Rfam family "Bacterial small subunit ribosomal RNA", at positions 338 to 795 of the family's 1533-position model. The record is from RNAcentral.